Non-coding RNA from Lactuca sativa (garden lettuce), 2904 nucleotides. The record is from RefSeq and is a predicted model, not a curated record. Lineage: Eukaryota; Viridiplantae; Streptophyta; Magnoliopsida; Asterales; Asteraceae.
GGAAAGUAAACUGUUUUCUCUUUCCUGUUUUGCCACGGAGCUUUCUUCUUUUCAUUCAAACCCACACCACUUCACUUCACCUGCUUUCCUCACCUGGGUUGCAAUCCAUGAAUCAGAAGAUUGAUCGACGGUGGUAAGAUGUUUACGCACCACCACUAGGGUUGUGUUCAGUACGAUCUUUAGCCUUUCUUCGUAAGAUCCUGAGAACGUGGGAAGAGCUCAAAGCCGAGGAGAGCCAUGUGUCCCGCUGAUAGAAUGCUCUUGCCACGCCUUUCACACACUCGCUUGAGUCAGACUCAACCUCUUGGCGGUCUCUGUUUCUUCUUUAGGUAUGUGUUGUAAUUCCUCUUAUAGAAUCUCAUGUCGGCAGUUUUCUCACCUUCUAGAUACUUCCAAUCCAUUAAAGGUAUUAUUUUGUUACUUCACACUAUAUUUCAUUUGGCACGCCAGAUGUUCGAUCUAAUGUUCGAUUAAUAUCAAUUUUAAACUUGAAGAGUGUUGUUGCUGGAAAAAAAAUUAUGAUGACGCUUUGACGAGAAACACAUCUGAUGCUACUGGUCUGGUCAUGUAUCUAUCAUUCUUAUAUGCAGAGCACAAUUCAUGCAGGGAAGUGCAUGUUAGGGUGGCGCUACGGUGGUUCAGCUAGCUAUGUGUAUUAGUGAGGUUGUUGAACAUCAGGUUAGUUGCAGCAGAAAACUCGGCUGUUGAACAUGAGGUUAGUUGCAGUAGAGAAGUCGGUUCUUUUUAUUCCCUUUUAUAACUUACAAACAUCGAAGUGUUCCUUCUUUCUGAUAUGAUAAAUCAGGGAAGAAUACAUAGAUUCAUGGACAGAUCUAAACGAAAGGCUUUGUUAAAUGAGAGCCAUGAUGAUUGUUUAGAAGUUGUGAAUAAUGACCCUUUAUUGUUUCAACUUUGUAUUUAUUUUUUUUUCUGUAGUAGAUUGAUUUAUACAUAUGGGUUGUCAUUCAACCAUAGAUUGAAGAUUGAAGUAUGUAGAGGCUUCAUUCGGUCAUGAAUGGAAGGAAGUAGGUAUUUUGUUUUUUUUCAUUUUUAUAUCAAAGGUUUUUUUAAAUCGAUUUUACCGCUUCCUCAGUUCGUCUCUACAGUGAAGUCAACUGGCCUAUAACAACAAAAAUGUCAACCCAAUUUGUCAACAUUAUCUUCACUAAUAUCGGAAGGAUCAGCGUAAAGUUUUUUUUCUUUUCUCUACUCAAUUUUCAAUUGGGGACUAAUAUUUUGCUGCUUUGGUUCUUAAUUUUAGGGAUGGUAAGUUUGAUUAAAUGUUUACUGGUUUUCCCAGCAGGUGAAAAAACUCUCCAGCACCAUCACUAAGAAGCAAUACAAUCUAAACAAAAAAAACUCAUUCUUAUUUUACACUUAUUAGCCCAAAAACAAAAAAAAUAAAAAAUAAAGAAAAAAGGAAAAAAAAACCUUAUAUGCGUCGAACUGUUUUUGAACCGGCUUUUUCUGAAGUAAAACCGAACCGGUUUAUAUAAGUUCGGAUUUUUUUGGGGUUGGACCGCUUUGGAACCGAACCGGUUUUGACUUGAUAAUUAUAGACUGAAAAACUAUUCAUACCUUUUUGUUUCCAACGUUCUUAACAUCUUCAUUCUGUUCAUCAGCAUGAGAAUGAGGAAAACCAUAGAGUGGCUAAACGUUGGAUUGAACGUGAAAAAGGCAGCAUGUGGUUCAAUAUUCCUCUAUGUAUCUAAUAUAUUCAGCCUAGAGCUAUCAUAGCAACUACAAGGUGCAACAGAGAAUUCCCUAAAGAUAACUAUGCCACUGAAGAAAUUUGUUUCAAAAUUAAGGAUUACAAGUGUCGAUGAGAGGAUAGUCAAAAUGGGCAGAUGGUUAAAGAGUUUGAAAGGGAGGGGCAUAACUGGAAAGUUGUGGCUUAAGUUCAAGAUAAGCAAAAAUUCAAGAGUUGGUGUACAUUAAAGUCAAAAUGGUGAAGUCUCAACUUUCACAUCUUAAAUUUAUUUAUUUAUUUUAUAAAUGAUCUACUUUCUUGCAUAUGCCAAGAUAACUGCUGAAUGUGAUGACAAAGUUCAAAUUGUUGGAGAUGAUCUUUUGGCCACUAACCCAACGGUCAUCUCUAAAAAAAAGUAAGAGAAGCACAAUAUCUGGUGAAGGUAUACUUGGUGAAUUUGAGACUUAAAGGAGUUGAGAUAGAUGUAGUUAUUACUGCAUACGAGCCUGUCUUCAUAAAUUAUAUCUUCUUCUUUAGAAUUGAAACAUGAUGUGAGCCAGGAAAUGGAACGGAAUGGAGUUCAAUCUCAUUCCUUUGCUAUGAUUGAGCCAAUGAACAAACAUCAAAGAAGAAGAAAAAGAAGAAAGUUAACAUGCCAAAUGCAGUAGAAAUACAGUGGAGGCCAUCUCAGGACUUUGCAGCUGAAAACUAUAUGAUGCCGCCAGGUCCUUCCCCUUACAAUCCUUACUAGAAUGGGAUGCAGCCUGGAAUGGAUGCAUUUAUGGGGCCAUAUGGUGGCAGCAUGCUGCCAUACAUGGGUGGUGGUUAUGGAUUUGGGCCAAUGGAUGUCCCCUUUGGAGGCAUGUUUCCCCAAGACCAUUUUGGUGCAUCAGGCCUUAUGAUGCCUCCUCGUUAUAUAUAUAUAUAUAUAUAUAUAUAUAUAUAUAUAUAUAUAUAUAUAUAUAUAUAUAUAUAUAUAUAUAUAUAUAUAUAUAUAUAUAUAUAUAUAUAUAUAUAUAUAUAUAUAUAUAUAUAUAUAUAUAUUAGUUUCUCUUAAUAAGCCCAUAUAUUCAUAACUAAUAUCAGAUUCAAAAUUAUUCUGUUUUUUUGUUUGAUGGAUUUCAUUAUUUCCAUGGCAAAUUCUGAUUCCUUUAAAUACGCAUUUAAUCCCCAAAAGAUAUAAAAUUGAUAUUGGAUAAUUUUUAACUUCAAAA